This is a long non-coding RNA of Cebus imitator (Panamanian white-faced capuchin), 403 nucleotides long. RefSeq lists it as uncharacterized. The transcript has 2 exons. The record is from RefSeq and is a predicted model, not a curated record. Lineage: Eukaryota; Metazoa; Chordata; Mammalia; Primates; Cebidae.
UGCCCAGGCUGGAGUGCAGUGGCAUGAUCUUGGCUCACUGCAACCUCCCUCUCCCGGAUUCAAGCAACAUGCCCUUCCCAGAAGAGAAAGCUGUUGAACUGCUGGCCUGUCUCCCCCAGGUGGCCAGGAUUUACCGUCACCAUUGGCUGCCCUUGCCCAGGCUGCUGCAGCCCUUCCUUCAGAAGGACGGUGCCUGAGGUCCCGCCGCCCCUGCCAACAGGAAAUGCCUCUGAGCAGUCACAUCACUGCCCACCGUCCAGGACGACAAGUGCUCCGUUCUGGAAGCUAGGAAGUCCGAGAUCAAGGUGCCUGCAGAUUUGGUGGAAGCGCCUGCUUUCUGGUUCCUGCUGUGUGUCCACCCUCAUAACCUAAUCACCAUUAAAAGGCUCCACCUCCUAAUACA